GAGUUUGAUCCUGGCUCAGGACGAACGCUGGCGGCGUGCCUAACACAUGCAAGUCGAACGGGGAUAUUGAUUUCGGUUGAUAUCCCAGUGGCGAACGGGUGAGUAACGCGUGAGCAACCUGACCUUUUGAGGGGGAUAACACCUGGAAACAAGUGCUAAUACCGCAUAAGACCACGGAGCGGCAUCGUUCAGGGGUCAAAGGAGGAAUCCGCAGAAGGAGGGGCUCGCGUCCCAUUAGAUAGUAGGCGGGGUAACGGCCCACCUAGUCGACGAUGGGUAGCCGAGCUGAGAGGCUGAUCGGCCACACUGGAACUGAGACACGGUCCAGACUCCUACGGGAGGCAGCAGUGGGGAAUAUUGGGCAAUGGGCGCAAGCCUGACCCAGCAACGCCGCGUGAGGGAAGAAGGCUUUCGGGUUGUAAACCUCUGUCCUUGGUGACGAAGGAAGUGACGGUAGCCAAGGAGGAAGCCCCGGCUAACUACGUGCCAGCCGCCGCGGUAAUUC
RNAcentral lists this ribosomal RNA (505 nucleotides) under uncultured bacterium. RNAcentral describes it as "bacterial SSU rRNA". It matches the Rfam family "Bacterial small subunit ribosomal RNA", at positions 9 to 526 of the family's 1533-position model. The record is from RNAcentral.